Chrysemys picta bellii (western painted turtle) is the source of this 5626-nucleotide RNA transcript. RefSeq lists it as uncharacterized. Lineage: Eukaryota; Metazoa; Chordata; Testudines; Emydidae. The record is from RefSeq and is a predicted model, not a curated record.
GAAGGGCUGCAAGGCAGAGCAGAGUUCAGUAGCUGACUGGAGCAUGAGGGGAGAAGCCCAGGUUCCUAGCAGAGGGAAGAAGCCCCAGCACCUGGGACAAUUCAGUGCUGCAAGUGCGGACCAGGGAGUUAGCGAGAGCUCCUGGAUGGCUGCUGGGGUCUGCAGGCUGAGGCCCUGAGAGACACAUCUAUUCUGUGUGAUGGGGUACACCUGCCCCGUACUGGACAGAAAGGGCUUAACCCCAUACGGCCCCCUCGCCCCUGCUGGGCAUGCUCCAACUGGAAUCUCAGUAUAACAGUGAGCAGCCCAGUUCAGUCUGUUCUGACCGCAGAGGAGAGAGGACAUGUAUUGCAGGCUCCUAGCCAGGAGCUGUCAGAGCCCCAGACCACGGAGUCCAGCCACACCAAGACCCAGGCAAAAGAGUCAAAACCCAGGCUAUGGAAGCCUGUGAGGGGAAGGAGUCAUCAGGAGCAUCACCUGCCGACUACCCUGGAGACCCAGAGGACCUGCAGCCUACAGAGCCGGAAGACAGGGUGGGAAGUACCUCAGGGGAACCAAACAUUGAUCUGGUUGUGAAACCGGGAACCGAGUCAGCAUGUUUCAGAUAGAACCCCACUGAAGGAUGGUCUUAUUGACUCUGGCCAUUAGGCCAUAUUGCCCUAAGGCUAAGGGCAAUCCCACUGACUCUGGCCACUGGGUCAUACUGCCCUGCAUCGAAGGGUGUUCCUAUUGACUCUGACCAUUAGGACAUACCGCCCUGAGGAAAAGGACAGUUAUUUGGACUCUGCUGCAGGGCUAUAAUGCUUUCCCCACCCUCAUGGGGUGAAGGUGCUUUUGUAAACAUUUAACAUACAAACUAAGGGAAAAAUCCUAAGCACAUACACAUUUACUUUAUAAAAUCAACCCUCCCCCAAACAAAAAUGUGACUUGUCAGCAAUGUACCCUCCUCUGACUGCCGUAGUCAUCAAGACACAGCUGUUCCUUGUCAACAAUUAACCACAGGCUUCUUAAGGGCCAGAUUACGGACUAGUGGCUUAGCCUGUACAACCUGGGGGUUGGGGGGCCAUAAGGGAUGUUUUAUUCACAACAAGUAAAAUUUUAUUAAACCCAGUGGACUGCUCUGUAUUCAUGGCUAGUUGCUACCAGCACAACUCCCCAUAUUACUUGUUUUCCUGGUGUCCUCUCAAUACCAGUCCCUCCAGGGAACAUGGGUCAUCUGACUCUAGUUCCACUUAUCAUGAUACAGCUUCCCUAUUUUAACAACAUGUUAACAUUUACAUUAUAAUAAAUAAUUGAUGCCCUGUGUCCCUUCAGCCAGAGGUUGCUAGCACAUUGCUGAGGUGGAGUCUCAUCUUUAUUACAGACUCAGCAAGCUACAUAGUCUGCGAGAUAGUUUAGUCUCUUCACAGAUGCCCACCCUGGGAGAGACUUAUCUGUUUCACUGUCACCUAUCUUUAACAAACUUUCUCUUUGUGGAGAAAGAGAUCGUGGAUGAUCUCUGUAUCUCUGUAGGCUUUCUCUAGAGUAGUGUCUGCUGGCUUGUAAGUGUCUUCUCUUCCUUUUGCAUCACCUCAUAUGACUUGGUUACCACUGCAUUCCUCACGAUUCCUUUAGUCCACUCAUAAUGGUGUCUCUCUAAUGGCUGGAUCAUCACAAGAGUGCCCGUAUCCAAGACUGGUAGGUCCUUAGCUGACCAGUUGUUCUCUAGUGCCUGCUUUCUCUGAUUGUUGGUCAUCUUUCAGCGGCAUCUCCAUCCUUUUGGCUGCACAGAUCUAAUCUCAUUGGAGCAGGAUUUUGGACCUUUGUCCCAUCAGUGCCUGAACUGGAGCAUUUUGGUACACCUGUAAUGACACAUUACUGUGUGCCAAAGAUGCUAAAAAGGGGUCUGAAUCAGAAGAAACUUCCUUGUGUAACAGUCACUUAGCUGUUUUCGCAGCUAAUUCUGUUUUACCAUUACUCUGUGGGUAUGCUGGGGAGGAGGUGUGGUGGUCAAACUCCCAUUUGUGUGCAAAUUUCUUUAAUUCUUCUGAGAUAAAUUAGGGUAUGUUGUCAGUGAAUACAGUGAUCGGACUGUCAUAUCUUGCAAAGUGGGCCAUCCGUUUGCCAAUGACUGAAUUUCUUCUUGUAUUAGGCAGGGCAUCGACUUCCCAGAAAUUUGAAUAGUAGUCCACUGUAAUCAAGUACUACUUUUCAUUGGAGGUAAAUAAGUCUGCUGCCACCUUUUCCUAUCAUCGGGUGGGCAGCUUGUAUGAUAAAAGUCUUUCUGAUGACAAUUAUCACAUGACUGGUAGGUGUCACCCUUCUGUCAAGGAGCAGAGUUGUGUAUUCAUUCCCGUCCAGUAAACACACUCUGAAGCCCAUCUAAAACAGCUGUCAAUGACCAGGUGUGAGGCAUGCAUUUUUUUCAUGACAUACAUUGUGUAAUGUGGAAGAGAAAAAAAUUCUCUCGCCUUGAAAUAUGAUUGCACCCUAGAUGCUCAGUUCAUCUUUAAUUUGAUAAUAUGGUUCUGCUCCUACUAGAAUUUUUUUUUGUCUUCUGGCCACUCUGCUAGUAUCUCUCUCUUGACUCCCAUCCUUUUCUGUAGCCUCUUUGAUAUCCUCUAGCUGUGCUGUUGAAAUGGAGAUAGUGCAGUAUGUUAAUGGAUUUGCUGUCCUGAUCCUCUUUCCCCAAACUAGCAGAUUCUGGGUAUAUAUGCCCUGCCCAGGGUGUCAGCAAAUGCCAGUAAUCUUCAUGGACAAAAUCUGAUCUCUCUACCUGGUAGCACUGGAGGUGCAUCAACAUGUGCUACAAUCUCUUUUGUGCACUAAAAAGGGGCUUUGCUAUGAUUAUCUCCAGGGGUAUGUGGUCUGAUUGUACUAUUAUUGGGGGGCAAUAGCUGUACUGAUGGAAUUGCUCCACUCUAAAUACCAGAACCAGAAGUUCUUUUUCUAUUUGGACAUUCCCCUGUUCAGUCUCUGACAUGGUCCUGCAGGCAUAAGUGACCAGCUGCUCCUGCAAAAGAGAUGUAUUAGUGGCUCUCUCGGCUGGUAGUACUUCAGGAUGGGGCAUCUGUUAUCAUUAGUUUCAUUGUGUUAAAUGCUUGCUGUUGAGGACCUGCCCAAUCCCACUCAAUAUCCUGCCUUGUAUGGGUUCUGCUACUGCACCAGGUGUGGACAGAAUUUGGCCAGAAAAUGUAUCAUUCAUAUGAAGCACUGUAACCCUUUCACAUCCACUGGCUCUGAUGUGUCUCUGACUGCCUUGAUCUUGUUGGGAUCUGUUUUUUAAUUCCUCUGCUCUGAGCAGAUGUGCAAUGUAUGUCAGCUCACUCUGUUUAAAUUGCAUUUUUCCUGGGUUGAAUUUCAUGGUCUUGUCCUUGCAUCGCUGUAGGAAAAAAUGUAGUUCUCUGUCAUGGACUUGUCAAGCUUCUGUAUCUUUACUCCCUUUACCUACAAUGAGGAUAUCAUCUUCAAUUAUUUUCACCCCAGGCAGUCCUUCCAGCACUUGGGUGAGUCUUCUCUGGAACACCUCUGGUGCUGGGCUUAUGCCCAUCAGCAUGCACAGCCAUCUGUAGCAACCAAAUGGUGUUGCAACAGUUAUCAGCAUGCUGGACAAUUUAUUUAGGCUUAUGUGUUAAAAGCUAUUCCUCACAUUAUGGACUGUAAAGAUUCUGGCUUUGAAAAGUUGUGGCCAGAUAUCAUCAUCAGUUGUGAGCAGUGGCAUCUUUUCAAUGCUUGGUUCAGUGGCUUUGGGGCUAUGCAGAUGUGCAAUUUGCCUGGUGGCUUCUCUACCACCACCGUGCUGCUUAUCCAGGCUGUACUGGCGUCUACUGGUGCUAUGAUACCCCUGCACUGCAGACUUUUGAGCUCCUUGCAUGCUGGAUUACAUAGUGCUACUGGAAUGUUCCUUCACGGUAAGUGCACAGGUACCACUGUGCAGUCUACUUCAGACACAGCUUUACUUUGAGGCACUCACAGGAGAACAUUUAUUCACCCAAAGAUACAUAAAAAGCAAAGAAAAGGGUUAAAACAACAAAAGGCCUACAUGUCUAGGUCUUACCUAAAUCUUAUCCUUUCCUUGUUAAUUUUUGAUAAGCUCCAGACAGACCUCUAUUUAUGGACUGAGACUAACAGCUGGCCCUGCUUCAGUUUUCCCUCUCUCUUUUGGUGUUGCUCCUGCAAUGUCGCCCCUUGAGCAACUGCUGACUACUCAUGCCUCCCCUCCCCCUCUCAGCAGUGGUUUUGAACAGUUUAGUGUCCUUUGAUCUCGGGCAUCAGACCUGGAACAAAGCCUGUUAACCUGGAUUCAGGUAGGCACUUUCUAAUUAAUAGGCCACCCAUUGUUCUUCUAAGGAACCUUGUUUUCUUCUGAGAUCUUCUCUCUGUCAUUGUUUCAUUUCCUGCUUGUUUCCCAACAGCUCCCAAUGAAAUGGCACCAGUCCAUUUCCACAUUGUAAUAACCCAAUAUGGCAAUGUCUGGAGUAUCUUGAUAGGUCACAUUCAUGAAACUAUUACAAAUUAACCUCGUUGUCUGCACUACCUACUAAACACAGUCAGUGUGCUCAGAAGACAUAGUCCCUGCCCCAAUUAUUUUACUUUCGAAAUUAGGAAGGCAUCAGGUUACCAGAAAAAGCAAUGGCAUGCAUGUGCAGACUCUUAUAAAAUAUAUUAAUACAUCUUUCCUUGGGAAAUUAAUAUUCAUGGUCUCUUCAGAAGCAUUUUCUAAGAUGAUGUAAACUGGCUUUUCAGAUGACAUGUGGAGAACUGGGAAAUAUUCAUUUUUUUAAAUUCAUUCAUUUUUAUUCAUUUUGAUAGUUACCCAUGUGAUAUUUUUUUGCCUGAAUGCAUCAUUAGCUCAAAAGGGGUUGUUAAAGAAACCUGGCAGGAAAGGUAAAACUCUGCUUUAGAGAAAGACCUUCCCCUCAAGCACAAUAGCCAGGAUUAUAGCCAUGAAGGGGGACUCCUCAGCCUCAAUAUUGGUGACAGGCCUGUUUGCCAAAUCCAGGGAUCAAACGACAGUAAUUUUGUAAAGGAUCUGCCCUUUACACAGGGAGGAGGACGUUGUCAGUGGCUACAGACUGAUGCAGGCCGACAGCAAGCAGGCUGUAACUUAGCCCUGGUGCUCCUCGUUCUUCCUGGGGACCAAGUCAGCCCAAACCAGGAGCCAGAGGAGAAUGCCAAGCAUGGGUGAGACAACAUACAUGAGGUCCCUGUUGUUUUAAAUUCACUUCUCUAAGUGCUAUGCAUCUUUUGGGAAAAUAAAGAAGCUGCUUUUGUGUCACUGCAUGCUGUUACUGUCCACAGGCUUCCAAAGAAAAUGUCUGGAAGGUAUCAAGUCUUUUGGGCCUGCUAAAUAAUCUGGUUGACAAUCAGGGGCCUGUAAUCCAAGACACACAUGGAGAGCGACUGGACCACGUUGUCCAACCCAAAAAAGUGGAGACAUGGGGGACUGCAAAACGACUCAGAAAGGGCGGUGUACCCAGGGACUGUGACAACUGAACUCAUUAGAAAAACUCUCCUAUUGUAUAUAAACAAUUACUAUUCAAGUGGGUCUGUCUCAUGUGAUCUUCUGAAACAGUUAUGUAGAAUGGAGAAUAUUUCAAAUUCCUAGGAGUAAUUUGUAUUGAAAUAAACUUGGAAUACUUGCUAA